GUCUUCGUGGCUCAGUCGGUAGAGCGUUGGUCUCAUAUUACGUCAAUAUGACUCAGGCACCAGCCUGGGACAUCCAAAGGUCGAGAGUUCGAGCCUCUCCGAGGACA
This 107-nucleotide transfer RNA is filed under the name Colletotrichum orbiculare MAFF 240422. RNAcentral's name for it is "tRNA-Met for anticodon CAU". It matches the Rfam family "tRNA". From Rfam's summary of the family: Transfer RNA (tRNA) molecules are approximately 80 nucleotides in length. Their secondary structure includes four short double-helical elements and three loops (D, anti-codon, and T loops). The record is from Rfam by way of RNAcentral. Lineage: Eukaryota; Fungi; Ascomycota; Sordariomycetes; Glomerellales; Glomerellaceae.